CCAAGGAGUCUAACAUAGACGCAAGUUUAAGAGUCUUGUAUAGGCUUUUAGGCGAAAUGAAAGUAAUAGCUGCGUUGCACACUUGUGUGUAGCGUAAAUGCGAAUAUACUGCCCUAUUCUUUACGGGAUAGUGGUGGAUAUUUCAGCAUUGGCCCGUGAUAUUUGCUCUUGAGCAAUUUUGCGGAGUCUUAGCGUGUACGUUGGUACCCGAAAGAUGGUGAACUAUGCUUGGGACAGAUGAAGCCAGAGGAAACUCUGGUGGAGGUCUGUAGCGAUUCUGACGUGCAAAUCGAUCGUCAGACCCGAGUAUAGGGGCGAAAGACUAAUCGAACCAUC
Molecule: ribosomal RNA, 336 nt
Filed under: Oudemansicheyla sp. AP-2010
Lineage: Eukaryota; Metazoa; Arthropoda; Arachnida; Trombidiformes; Cheyletidae
Description: eukaryotic LSU rRNA
Rfam family: Eukaryotic large subunit ribosomal RNA
Source: RNAcentral